AACGAACGCUGGCGGCAGGCCUAACACAUGCAAGUCGAACGAGAAGCCACCUUCGGGUGGUGGACAGUGGCAGACGGGUGAGUAACGCGUGGGAACGCGCCUUUCGGUUCGGGAUAACCCAGGGAAACUUGGGCUAAUACCGGAUACGCCCUCCGGGGGAAAGAUUCAUUGCCGAAAGAUCGGCCCGCGUCGGAUUAGCUAGUUGGUGGGGUAAAAGCCUACCAAGGCGACGAUCCGUAGCUGGUCUGAGAGGAUGACCAGCCACACUGGGACUGAGACACGGCCCAGACUCCUACGGGAGGCAGCAGUGGGGAAUAUUGGACAAUGGGCGAAAGCCUGAUCCAGCCAUGCCGCGUGGGUGAAGAAGGCCUUAGGGUUGUAAACCCCUUUCAGCGGGGAAGAUAAUGACGGUACCCGCAGAAGAAGUCCCGGCUAACUCCGUGCCAGCCGCCGCCGUAA
RNAcentral lists this ribosomal RNA (459 nucleotides) under uncultured bacterium. Its description in RNAcentral is "partial 16S ribosomal RNA". It matches the Rfam family "Bacterial small subunit ribosomal RNA", at positions 29 to 523 of the family's 1533-position model. The record is from RNAcentral.